GUGAACGCUGGCGGUAGGCCUAACACAUGCAAGUCGAACGACAGCACAGUAAGAGCUUGCUCUUACGGGUGGCGAGUGGCGGACGGGUGAGGAAUACAUCGGAAUCUACUUUUUCGUGGGGGAUAACGUAGGGAAACUUACGCUAAUACCGCAUACGACCUACGGGUGAAAGCAGGGGAUCUUCGGACCUUGCGCGAUUGAAUGAGCCGAUGUCGGAUUAGCUAGUUGGCGGGGUAAAGGCCCACCAAGGCGACGAUCCGUAGCUGGUCUGAGAGGAUGAUCAGCCACACUGGAACUGAGACACGGUCCAGACUCCUACGGGAGGCAGCAGUGGGGAAUAUUGGACAAUGGGCGCAAGCCUGAUCCAGCCAUACCGCGUGGGUGAAGAAGGCCUUCGGGUUGUAAAGCCCUUUUGUUGGGAAAGAAAAGCAGCAGGUUAAUACCCCGCUGUUCUGACGGUACCCAAAGAAUAAGCACCGGCUAACUUCGUG
This 491-nucleotide ribosomal RNA is filed under the name uncultured bacterium. Its description in RNAcentral is "partial 16S ribosomal RNA". It matches the Rfam family "Bacterial small subunit ribosomal RNA", at positions 29 to 507 of the family's 1533-position model. The record is from RNAcentral.